AGAGCGAGAUGUAGCCAAGGAGUGACUUGCCGGCGAAAUGCACCGAGAAUCUACCACUGUCUUUCGCUCUCUCUCUCUCAAUGCCGGUGCCGGCAAGUCAUCCUUGGCUGCAUUCUGCUCUCC
This is a microRNA precursor of Ananas comosus (pineapple), 123 nucleotides long. The record is from Rfam. Lineage: Eukaryota; Viridiplantae; Streptophyta; Magnoliopsida; Poales; Bromeliaceae.